Molecule: long non-coding RNA, 1568 nt
Filed under: Prunus dulcis (almond)
Lineage: Eukaryota; Viridiplantae; Streptophyta; Magnoliopsida; Rosales; Rosaceae
Source: RNAcentral
CUAGGCGGGUCUAGGCGGCACUAGGCGGGUCUGGGUGCCAAGGUGGGUCUAGUUUUUUUCUUUUGUUCUUUAAGCCUACAGCCUAGCGAUUUUUCAAACUCAUGCACUGCAGAGCAGGUCUAGGCGGUGAUGGGAGAGUCUGGGAGGCGCUAGGAGGGUCUAGGCGGCGCUAGGCAGGUCUGGGUGCCAGAGUGGGUCUGGUUCUUUAGGGUUUAGGGUCUGGGUGCCAGGGUCUGGUUAUUUUCUUUUGUUCUUUUAGCCUAUACUGCCUAGCGAUUUUUCAAACUUCAUCUAUCUUUGCUAAUUGUUCGCACAAGUCUCAUUUUUGCAUCUAUCUUUGCAUCUAUCUCAAACUCCAUUAGUAAUCUGUCACAUUUUUUUCCAAGUACGUGUGCCAUUUUCUUCUUUGAAGCCAAUAUUUCGAGCAAUAACUGUAUCAGAUGCACCACCUUUUGACCCCAGCAAUAUUGUGUCAUUGCAGGCACAUUUCUGCAGCCACUUUCUUUUAGUCUAUUCCUUAACUUCAUUUUCUUCUAUGUUAAUUGAUGGGAUUCAAAAUUAUGGCAGAUCAUGUUUAGAAAGUUCGAAUUUGAUGGGAAACUAAAUCCUACUUUUGUGGAAGGGGCAUUUAAGCUCCCAUUAUCAAGCAUACGAGCGUAUCUAAAAGAGCCUAUUACUCCCAGGUUUCACAUUCUUUUCAUUUUGUUGGAUUAUCUUAUGACUAAACAUAAUUGAUCUGCUAGGUGCACUUUCUGUUUUAGUCUUUAAAGAAUCUCUUUGCUUGUGUUCCGUGUAGGUUCGUACACCUAGGUUCUGCAGGAGUUACCCGACCUGACAGGCCUGGACUUGAUCCAAGUAAACAACCUCCUGCUAUUCGCUUAAACAAGGAAUUGGAUUUUAUACUGACAUGCAAGUUGAAGGUUUCAUACUAAUUCAGUGCACGCUGUUUGAUAUUUUUAUAUAUAAUCAGUGUAUCAAAAUACCACUUCUUAGCUCUUUUCUGUUCUUUUUCUUUUUCUGGGUCAGAUUUAGCUCUUUCGAUUUUGUACAUUGAUAAGUUUCGGAGAAGGGGGAGGACUUAAUACGGGAAAUGGAAUACCAUAUACAAUUGUGAGGCCUUGUGCAUUAACUGAGGAGCCUGCCGGAGCAGAUCUCAUUUUCUACCAGGGAGACAAUGUAAUGGUAUAUAAUCUCUCUUUGUUGUAUGCCUGUGAUGACAUGUAUUGCUCUUUCUUUCCCUUAUAAUAAUAAUAAUAUCUGAAUGUUAUGAUUUAUAGUAUUUAUAUAUAUGCAGGGUAAGAUAUCAAGAGAGGAGGUUGCUCAGAUUUGUGUUGCUGUUGUAGUGCUUAAUGGAACUGCUUGAACUAUUGAAUAUCUUGCAGGUCAGGGAAAACUGUUAACCUCCCAAUUUGAUCUUAAAAGCAUACAAAAAAACUCCAAAACGCGUGCAAGUUGGUAAUUGAAAGGUUUCCUAUUUUAAUGUUCUUUCCAAGUCUGGUCAUGUUCCAUUUCCAUGUUGUGUUAUUUAAUAAAUUUGGGCCUUGCUGGAAAACCAGUAAUGUUUCAAC